CAGUAGCCGCGGGAAUACAGAGGGUGCAAGCGUUAAUCGGAAUUACUGGGCGUAAAGCGCGCGUAGGUGGUUCGCCAAGUUGGAUGUGAAAUCCCCGGGCUCAACCUGGGAACUGCAUCCAAAACUGGCGAGCUAGAGUAUGGUAGAGGGUGGUGGAAUUUCCUGUGUAGCGGUGAAAUGCGUAGAUAUAGGAAGGAACAUCAGUGGCGAAGGCGACCACCUGGACUGAUACUGACACUGAGGUGCGAAAGCGUGGGGAGCAAACAGGAUUAGAUACCCGCGUAGUCCCUGUCUCUUAUAC
This 301-nucleotide ribosomal RNA is filed under the name uncultured bacterium. RNAcentral's name for it is "partial 16S ribosomal RNA". It matches the Rfam family "Bacterial small subunit ribosomal RNA", at positions 509 to 807 of the family's 1533-position model. The record is from RNAcentral.